RNAcentral lists this ribosomal RNA (269 nucleotides) under uncultured prokaryote. RNAcentral describes it as "partial 16S ribosomal RNA". It matches the Rfam family "Bacterial small subunit ribosomal RNA", at positions 524 to 792 of the family's 1533-position model. The record is from RNAcentral.
UACGUAGGUGGCAAGCGUUAUCUGGAAUUAUUGGGCGUAAAGAGCGCGCAGGUGGUUGAUUAAGUCUGGUGUGAAAGCCCACGGCUUAACCGUGGAGGGUCAUUGGAAACUGGUCGACUUGAGUCCAGAAGAGGGAAGUGGAAUUCCAUGUGUAGCGGUGAAAUGCGUAGAGAUAUGGAGGAACACCAGUGGCGAAGGCGGCUUCCUGGUCUGUAACUGACACUGAGGCGCGAAAGCGUGGGGAGCAAACAGGAUUAGAUACCCUCGUA